This 504-nucleotide long non-coding RNA is filed under the name Androctonus crassicauda. The record is from RNAcentral. Lineage: Eukaryota; Metazoa; Arthropoda; Arachnida; Scorpiones; Buthidae.
UUAUUUUUUCUUCAGAUUAAUUCAUGCAUAUUAGUCAUAUUAGGAUGAGCAUAUUCUAUGUAAGCUUAUAGCAAAAGUUAGGAAAGAAAAUUCUCCAGAAGCUAUUUUUAAAAUUAAAUCUCUAGUUAAUCCCUUUUUUUUAAUUUUUUAAUAUGAACUAUUUACUUAUAAGGAAAAAACGGGGCAGGACAAAGACUCAAAAACCGGGACGUCUGGUCACUUUAUUAGCGCUUUCCUAUAAGAAAAGAGCGGUUGAUUAUGAAUUCGAUAAUGGAUGUUUCAAUGUAUUUAGUAAAUUUUGGAAAUGUUGCAAUUCUUACUUAAAGACCGAAAUGUUAAAUUUAACAUUGGCGAUUCUGCCAAGCUUAUUGACGAAUGCAAAAAAGGAGCGUUGAUAUAUAGAUAUAAACUUGUCAGUACUGUCCUGGGCCUCUAGUCUCCACUUUUUCGUGUUGUACUCGAACGCACAUCAGCCAACGCACUCGUGUCACUUCUACUCACAAG